RNAcentral lists this ribosomal RNA (375 nucleotides) under uncultured bacterium. RNAcentral describes it as "bacterial SSU rRNA". It matches the Rfam family "Bacterial small subunit ribosomal RNA", at positions 521 to 896 of the family's 1533-position model. The record is from RNAcentral.
UAAUACGAAGGGGGCUAGCGUUGCUCGGAAUUACUGGGCGUAAAGGGCGCGUAGGCGGACAGUUAAGUCAGAGGUGAAAGCCCAGGGCUCAACCCUGGAAUAGCCUUUGAUACUGGCUGUCUUGAGUGCGGGAGAGGUGUGUGGAACUCCGAGUGUAGAGGUGAAAUUCGUAGAUAUUCGGAAGAACACCAGUGGCGAAGGCGACACACUGGCCCGUAACUGACGCUGAGGCGCGAAAGCGUGGGGAGCAAACAGGAUUAGAUACCCUGGUAGUCCACGCCGUAAACGAUGAGUGCUAGUUGUCGGCAUGCAUGCAUGUCGGUGACGCAGCUAACGCAUUAAGCACUCCGCCUGGGGAGUACGGUCGCAAGAUUA